RNAcentral lists this long non-coding RNA (500 nucleotides) under Sus scrofa (pig). RNAcentral describes it as "lncRNA (ENSSSCG00025036362.1)". Lineage: Eukaryota; Metazoa; Chordata; Mammalia; Artiodactyla; Suidae. The record is from RNAcentral.
AGAGGAGGAGACAAGGAAGUAAAUCAAUGAUCAGAUUCAGUUAUUUUUGAUUAACUGACAAGAAUGACUCUGACUUUCUGGAAAUUACAAAUGCAGCAAAGAGAAGCUUCUGAUUCUAUACUGAUUGAGUGGCUUCGAACUCGACAUUCCUGCCUCAGCAACAGAGGAUAAAAAUCGUGAUGUGAUGGAUAUAGCACACAAGUGAGAAAUAUAAAUAUGGACUACAGGCUUCUAAAGAAUAAUUGAGCUUGCUGAGGAUCUGUGCCAGAUAUUGGAAAUGUCUAAGAUGUCAAGAGGUGAGUUCUUUGGUGUUUAUUGUUGUUGAGGUGACUUGUGUGUGUAUGUGUGUUUUGGAAAGAAUAGAGUAUAAUGAGAAGAUCAUCACAAUCUGUGUAAUAUGAAAAGCUGAGGCUACUGUUAUAAAUUAAGCUUUUUUUCAGAAAUGUUGUGUUAUCAAAACAGGAAUGAAAUUCUGAACAAUACACCUAAUAAGAUUAUCU